Lucilia cuprina (Australian sheep blowfly) is the source of this 307-nucleotide long non-coding RNA. RefSeq lists it as uncharacterized. NCBI's taxonomy places the organism in Eukaryota, Metazoa, Arthropoda, Insecta, Diptera, Calliphoridae. The transcript has 5 exons. The record is from RefSeq and is a predicted model, not a curated record.
AAAAAUACUACGCGUGGGUGAAGAAGAAGCACCCAAACAAAAAAAAUCAAUGGGUACAACGAGGUUCUGGUGGAGAUUUAUGGCCAAUAAAGGGGUUUUUAAACAAGAUAUCAUGUUGACGGCCCUGGGCCUAUAUAAAAAAAACUGAUGGCCGAUUCUGAAAGAUGGCGGAUCGAAGCAGAAUGAAAUGGUUUUGUUCCAGAUGGGCCGGUGUACUAUGGAUUAAGGUCGUUCCGGAAAUUUAAGGUCUUAAAAUUCAGGUGGACCAAUUCUAGUUCCUAGACCUCUUAUUCCGUUUGGGAUUGGU